Molecule: ribosomal RNA, 440 nt
Filed under: uncultured bacterium
Lineage: Bacteria
Description: partial 16S ribosomal RNA
Rfam family: Bacterial small subunit ribosomal RNA
Source: RNAcentral
CCUACGGGUGGCUGCAGUGGGGAAUAUUGCACAAUGGGGGAAACCCUGAUGCAGCGACGCCGCGUGAAGGAAGAAGUAUUUCGGUAUGUAAACUUCUAUCAGCAGGGGAGAAAAUGACGGUACCUGACUAAGGAGCCCCGGAUAACUACGUGCCAACAGCCGAGGUAAUACGUAGGGGGCCAGCGUUAUCCGGAUUUACCGGGUGUUAAGGGGGCGUAGGCGGUGCAGCAAGUCAGAAGUGAAAGGCAGGGGCUCAACUCCGGGACUGGCUUUGAAACUGUUGAACGAGAUUGCGGGAGAGGUAAGUGGAAUGCGUGGUGUAGCGGUGAAAUGCGUAGAUAUUACGAGGAACACCAGUGGCGAAGGCAGCUUACUGGACUGUAAAUGACGCUGAGGCUCGAAAGCGUGGGGAGCAAACAGGAUUAGAUACCCGGGUAGUC